This 693-nucleotide ribosomal RNA is filed under the name Triticum aestivum (bread wheat). RNAcentral describes it as "partial small subunit ribosomal RNA". The record is from RNAcentral. Lineage: Eukaryota; Viridiplantae; Streptophyta; Magnoliopsida; Poales; Poaceae.
AUGUUAGGUCUCCUUAGUUCCAAAUAUGGUUUUACAGGUUCUAAAAUUAUUUCUUUGAUGCGAGGUGCCAUGCUGUGGAUAACAAGGAGAUUAUCAAGGCGGAGCGGCGGUGAGUAUGGAGCUCAUAAUCAUCAGUUCAUCACCAUGAAGCAGAAGGAAUGGUAUAGCUUUGCCAUGAUCGAGCAAUUCCUCUGUUUCUUCCUCUCGGGCGAUAUGUCGACCUCCUCGUCAGCCCCCCGUUCCACGUGGCCGGUGUAUGGUCCAGUGCCGAUGACUCGAUGCACUGACUGCCCAUGGACUGCGCCAUUGAAGCGGUUGACUUCGAAGGAGGAGAAGAAUGGGAACUUUGGGCGCGAGUUCGUCAAAUGCGAGAGCAAGCCGGAGGGGCAGAUCAUGAAGAAAUGCCACCAUUUCGAGUGGAUGGAUGAUUACAUCCAGAGGCUUCAAGGGUUGGGCUUGCUGGAUUCGAGGGGGAAUGCAAUCCGCGAGUUCAAUCUUCCCCAUGACAGUGCCGCUCCGGCAGCAGUAGCGCGUUCGGAAUACCCGAUGGUGGUAGAUGUCGAACUGAAGACGGAAUUGAAGAAGAUGAACAAGUACUUCAAGCAGCUGAUUGAGUUGAAGAAGCAAUCCAAUCUGAUAGCUUUAGGAAUACUUGCUCUAGGAAUUUUUUACUUGAUGGCCAUCUCUCGUUAG